Molecule: ribosomal RNA, 903 nt
Filed under: uncultured soil bacterium
Lineage: Bacteria
Description: SSU rRNA
Rfam family: Bacterial small subunit ribosomal RNA
Source: RNAcentral
UGCAUUGUAAUGUAAACUUGGAAGCCUUGCUCAAGCUGGUAUUCAUUCGUACUGACGACCAGUCUGUAGACGCGGAUGCAUGCAGUGUAGCUGUGAAUGCGCAUAGCAUCUGAUGAAUCGUUCUCGCGGCCUCUGGACAUAGACUAAGUUCAUGCACAAAGGCGUGCGUGCCCACAGGAUUAGAUACCGUGUAGGCCCAUUCGUAAACGAUGUCUACUAUCUACUGGUGUCUUGAACACUGGACUCUCUCGGUUACGCAUUAAGUAGACCGCCUGGGGACUGCGGUCUCAAGGUUAAAACUAAAAUGAACUGGCGGAGGCCCUCACAACCGGUAGUGCAUGUAAUUUUAGGAGAUGCAACGCGAAGAACCCUACCUACUCUGAACAUCCCCGGAAGUCUUCAGAGAGGCAGGUGUGCCUUAAGGAACAGUGAGACAGGUCCUUCAUGGCUGUCGUCAGCUCCUGUUGUGACAGGUUGGGUUAAGUCCCCGCAACGAGCGCGACCCCUCUCGGUUUUCCCCAGCACGUAAUGGUGCGAACUCUAGCGAGACUGCGGAGUAUAAACCGGAUGAAAGUGGGGACGACGUCAAGUCAUCAUGCCCAUCAGGAGUAGGUCUUCACACGUGCUACAAUGGCGAGCACAGAGGGUCGCAAACCCCCGAGGUGGAGCCAAUCUCACAAAGCUCGUAGUAGUCCGUAUUUGAGUCUGCAACUGGACUCCAUGAAGUCGGAAUUGCUAGUAAUUGAGGAUCAGAAUGCCACGGUGAAUACGUUCCCGGGCCUUGUACACACCGCUCGUCACACCAUGGGAGUGGGCUGCAAAAGAAGUGGGUAGCUUAACCUUCGGGGGGGCGCUCACCACUUUGUGGUUCAUGACAGGGGCGAAGUCGUAACAAGGUAACCA